RNAcentral lists this unclassified non-coding RNA (2399 nucleotides) under Leishmania donovani. RNAcentral's name for it is "gene:LdHU3.21.0940(CDS-product:proteasome_regulat ory_non-ATP-ase_subunit_5_putative)". The record is from RNAcentral. Lineage: Eukaryota; Euglenozoa; Kinetoplastea; Trypanosomatida; Trypanosomatidae.
CUUUCGUGCCAAAGCAGGACACGUGUACACAAAAGAGAAACCAGAACACACACACACACACACACACACGCCCAUACAUACACGCAUAGCCGUUUCACUUCUCCGCCUUGUGGUCACUUGUCUCUUUCUCUCUCCUUCUCUAUUCGGUAAUCUCAAAUCGUUGAGACGCGCCCCCUUUUUGGCCCUUCUCCUUUGUACAGCCCACAAGAAGCAAAGAACACGCUGCCUCGAGCGGUAUCUGCGUUUAUUUUUUUUUCUUUUGGUAUCCUCCCUCUUGCCUUGUGCCGCCGUAAGAUUCCAUACACCUCUGUGCGCCACACCAUUGUCACUCUCCUCUUCCCCCCUCUUUCUCGGCUCUCUACAGCUGAGCAGCUCGCAAGCCUCUUCUGUCCCCUUUUCAGCACUCCUUGCCCUAGUUUUAGAGCAGCUCGCAGUCUUUUGUUUUUCUCCUCCAUCCCUCGCUCGUUCGGCUUUGCGGCUGAGGGGAUACAAGUGCGUUCAUCGAAAGUUGCACAGGCCGCAGUGAACCAUGGCGGACAACGAAUGGAAGGGAGCCAGCUUCAAGCAGGAUGAGGACCAUUCUGCGGAGACGGCAAAGCUGCUAGAGCGGGUGAACGCGACAACGAUACCUGUUCUUCUUCGCAGCAGCAACGCAAAGCUGGGUGACAUCGUCGCUGAACUGCUUGCGCUGGAAAAGGUGUCCCGUCUCGGCGGCGAUGCUGCCUCUACGAAGCUGCUGGCGGUGGAGGUGCUGCGCAUCUACCGCACGCAGAAUGAACUGGACCAAAUGCUCGAAACACUGGACAUGCUGAUGAAAAAGCGCGGCCAGACCAAGCAGGCUCAGAGCGCCAUGAUCGCCGAGUGCGCAAUCGUCCUGACGGACGACUCCUUGGCGAAGGAGAAGCAGGAGGAGGUGCUCGAGCGCCUGGCCUACGUGACGGAGAACAAGAUCCACGUCGAGCUGGAGCAUGCACGUUUCACCAUUGAGCUGGCGACUCUUCAUGAGGCGGCGGGCCGCAAGCGCUCCGCGUGCGAUAUGCUGCGCACGCUGCACAUCGAAACCAUCACAAACAUGCCGCGCUUAGAGAAGCUGGAGGCGCUGAAUCAGCAGAUCCGCCUCUGCCUAGAGCUGGAGGACUACGACCACAUCCCUCUUGUUUCAAGAAAAAUCAAUCAUCGCGGUCUUGGCCGCGACGAAGCCCAGCAGCAGAAGCUCAAGUACUUUGAGCUCAUGCGCGCAUACUAUGCACACAAGGAGUCCUUCUUCAACGUUGGCCGGUGCUGGUACGAGACGUAUAACACCGUGAAGAGCACCGAUGACAAGCUGUCUGCCUUAAGCAACAUGGUGGUACACUAUCUCAUCGCCGAGAAUGCUACCGCGAAGGAAAUCGAGGACCUGGCGGAGUGCACGGCGUUUGCACCUGCCACCAAGCUGCAUGAUCGUGUUGCAGCUCUUUCAACCAUUAGCGAGAAGCUGAGGAGCGACCUGGAGGACAUCCCGCAGCUGUACGCACUUCUGCAGCGCUUCAACAGUAUUGAGCUGAUCCAGGAGAGGGUCUCCUCGGAGGUGGAGGUGCUGUGCCAGACCCACCCCGAGCUGGCUCCGUACCCUGCGCGUCAGGAACUGCUCAGCAACCGCUGCAGCGAGCACGACAUCAUGGUCAUUGCCCGCUUCUACACUCGCAUCCCACUCAAGCGUCUUGCGGAGCUGGUGCAUCUGUCGCCAGAGCAUACGGAGAUGUUCAUCAUGACAAUGGUCACGAACAAGACCUUGUACGCGAAGAUGGACCGUGUGGAUGAGCUGGUGGUGUUCGAGGCGCGAAAGAACACGACGGAGGUCGUUGCGUCGUGGAACGACUCGGUCGAACGCAGCGUUGCACUGCUCGACAAGGCAUCGCACCUCAUUACAAAGGAGCGGAUGCUGCACAACCUUGCCUCGCGGAAAGUCCACUAGAGGUGGGCUAGGGAUGAUGCAGCGGCUACACAUGUGUAUGUGUGUGUGUGCAUUUGUGUCGUCGAUAUCACGUGCGCUGACGAUGCCUCUCUUAUCUGUAGGGCACAGUCGGAGGCUCCUACCGCUUUCACCGUCGAUGGAAUCUGCGCGAUCGGUUUCGAACGCUCCGACUCUUUUGCCUCCCUCCCAACAGGAGUAGUGGGCGCUUAUUUUACCUCUCUUGUCCGACGAGCAAGGCGUGGCCGCUUUCGGGGAGUGAGAACACGAUGCGUUGUUGACUGCGUCUCUUUCUGUCUCUGCAACUUCAUUCCCUUCCAGAUGCUCCGUAGGCGCUCUGCGCUUCUUCUAUGUGUGUGGUUGUUGUGCGUGUGUGGGUGUUUACGCGUUUGUGUGAGCUCUGAAGUGGCCCUUCCUGGGCCGAUCACAUCUGUGGUCUGGAAGGAAC